RNAcentral lists this long non-coding RNA (2176 nucleotides) under Marmota monax (woodchuck). The record is from RNAcentral. Lineage: Eukaryota; Metazoa; Chordata; Mammalia; Rodentia; Sciuridae.
GAAAAAGGUUAGUUUUACUGGAGUGAUGGAGUGAGAAGGGCCAUCACUGAGAGCACAGGUUUUAUUAUUGUGAGUGCUCCAAGCUCUGUCUAGGUGGGGACCACCCACCAUUAGCUGGAGGAAGAGCUGGAGCUAACUGGGCACCUGACAGCCAUUUUCCAUUCCAGGAGCGCCACGGAUCACCUGCACCAGUGUCUGCCCUCAGCUGUGUGCCACCCAGGAGGACUGUCCAGCACAGAGUGCCACACAGACCACAGCAAUUCUCAACUGCAGAGGGCUCGGCAUCCCAGGGAGCACUUAUAAAUGUGUGGGGACAUUUCUAGUUGUCACAACAAAUGGAAGGUGUCCUGAUAUUCAGUGUCUGGGAACCAAGGGAUACUGGACAUCCUGGACAGGUUGGGCAUUUCCAUAAACUGGAGAUCCUUCCCUCCACCACAUUAAAGGUUCCCAGGGGAAGCCCACUGACCGAGCCUCUCUGUCCCAGGAUGGAGCCCACUAACGUCUGACAGUCACUUCCCAUGGCCCCACGUGGGAAGCCCUUUUCUCUGCCGUGGAGAGCAGAGGCUUGCUCAGGGCAUUUGAGUGACCGACCAAGCUGCACAAUGGCAUGAUUCUCUGUGUUUCAGGCUCAGCCUUUGCCCGUCACUCAUUUUCCUUCCAUAAUUCAGAGCUUACUUUCUUCAGCACCUGAUUCUGUGCUUUUCAACAAAUGCAUUUAAUUAGUGUGCUGCCUCGGGUAUGGAACUUGCAUUCGCUUAACACAAUGGUCAGUUAAAUUUUGCUCAUUUCACUUUGGCUAGUUGCAAUGCGGGUGACUGAGCGCGUCUCUUCUUGGCGCUCCUGUUUCAUCCUUUGGUUAUAGCAAAGUUCUUUAUUGAUUGGUUGAUUGCGAGGGAUCUGCAGGGCUUCUCCUGUCUCGUGCUGUACCACGUGGGACCCAGUAGCAGUCAGGUAAGCCUGGCAUGUGGGCUGUUGUGGGGACAUUUAUAAUGUGUAUCGGCCAGCCUGGUUCUUGCUGUUUUUUCAUCCAGUAAUUACUCCUUGUUAUUUCUGUGGCUGGUGGGUAAAGCCUCGGCUGGCAGUGAAGAGACCUGCAGCAUGUCAACCCCCUGAGCUGUGCUGACUUGGGAACGGCACAAAGCCUCUCCGCCCUCACUUUUCCCAGCCACACAGUAGGGGCACUGCCGCCUGUCACAGCCAGGUGGUGACUGACAUCCAUUUCUCCCAGGCCAGAGGGGAUGUACUCCUUCUCAGACUAAAGUGGAGGCCACUGGCACUGUCAUGAUCACUGCCUGAAAUAGCAAUGGGUUCUCCUGGGGAGCCCUGACCUCGCAUCUUCAGGACUUUUCCUGGGUGGCUGGGACUCCUGAUUUCCAGCUUAUGAAGUGGACGGGGUGGUGCAGGUGCCAGAUCUCUGGGGCCUGUGCUGCUAGGUGCCCACCCCUCAUGGCCUAGGGCUUAUGUAGGCUUCUGAUGCCAGCAGAACUGGCUCCCAUGCCAGGUGUCCAGCAGGUAGGGUCAAGGUCGGGCUGGAGCUCCUGUUUCAUCAUUUGGUUAUAGCAAAGCUCUUGAUUGAUUGAUUGAUUGAUUGGGUAUAGGGGAUUGAACUCAGGGACACUUGGCCACUGAGCCAUAUCCCCAGUCCUAUUUCGUAGUUUUUUAGAGAUGGGGUCUCACUGAGUUAGCACCUCGCUGUUGCUGAGGCUGGCUUUGAACUGGAGAUCCUCCUGUCUCAGUCUCCUGAGCCACUGGGAUUACAAGUGUGUGCCACUGCACCCAGUCUUCAUGUUUGAUGAUAGCAAGGCUCCUUGUUCCCAAAGCUGUAUCCACCCUUGCUGCAGCACAGUGUUCUGCUAGGGCUAGAUUUCACUGUGACACAGUUGGCUUUUAAUACCACAGUGAUUAGACUUGAAAUCAGGAUAGCCAUCACCCAGCAUAAUAGGCUACUGUCCUGAAACAGUGACACUAAAGGCUUCUGGUCACAUAGGUCACCCGCAAGUGAGGAGACAGUUCUUAUUUCAUCACUGGCCUGAAGGUGCUGUCAUUAAGAUGAACACUCUGCUCUGAUCCACUGCCGACCCACUUAUUUCCUUAUCUCAUGGAUGUUCCCAGAAACCAUCUACUGGAGGUGGUGAGCUCUUCACGUGAGAUCAAUGCAGCUCCUGAAAAAUAACAU